GGCGGCGUGCUUAACACAUGCAAGUCGAACGGAAAGGUCUCUUCGGAGACACUCGAGUGGCGAACGGGUGAGUAACACGUGGGCAAUCUGCCCUGCACACCGGGAUAAGCCUGGGAAACUGGGUCUAAUACCGGAUAGGACCACUUGGCGCAUGCCUUGUGGUGGAAAGCUUUUGCGGUGUGGGAUGGGCCCGCGGCCUAUCAGCUUGUUGGUGGGGUGACGGCCUACCAAGGCGACGACGGGUAGCCGGCCUGAGAGGGUGUCCGGCCACACUGGGACUGAGAUACGGCCCAGACUCCUACGGGAGGCAGCAGUGGGGAAUAUUGCACAAUGGGCGCAAGCCUGAUGCAGCGACGCCGCGUGGGGGAUGACGGCCUUCGGGUUGUAAACCUCUUUCACCAUCGACGAAGGUCCGGGUUCUCUCGGAUUGACGGUAGGUGGAGAAGAAGCACCGGCCAACUACGUGCCAGCAGCCGCGGUAAUACGUAGGGUGCGAGCGUUGUCCGGAAUUACUGGGCGUAAAGAGCUCGUAGGUGGUUUGUCGCGUUGUUCGUGAAAUCUCACGGCUUAACUGUGAGCGUGCGGGCGAUACGGGCAGACUAGAGUACUGCAGGGGAGACUGGAAUUCCUGGUGUAGCGGUGGAAUGCGCAGAUAUCAGGAGGAACACCGGUGGCGAAGGCGGGUCUCUGGGCAGUAACUGACGCUGAGGAGCGAAAGCGUGGGGAGCGAACAGGAUUAGAUACCCUGGUAGUCCACGCCGUAAACGGUGGGUACUAGGUGUGGGUUUCCUUCCUUGGGAUCCGUGCCGUAGCUAACGCAUUAAGUACCCCGCCUGGGGAGUACGGCCGCAAGGCUAAAACUCAAAGGAAUUGACGGGGGCCCGCACAAGCGGCGGAGCAUGUGGAUUAAUUCGAUGCAACGCGAAGAACCUUACCUGGGUUUGACAUGCACAGGACGCGUCUAGAGAUAGGCGUUCCCUUGUGGCCUGUGUGCAGGUGGUGCAUGGCUGUCGUCAGCUCGUGUCGUGAGAUGUUGGGUUAAGUCCCGCAACGAGCGCAACCCUUGUCUCAUGUUGCCAGCGGGUAAUGCCGGGGACUCGUGAGAGACUGCCGGGGUCAACUCGGAGGAAGGUGGGGAUGACGUCAAGUCAUCAUGCCCCUUAUGUCCAGGGCUUCACACAUGCUACAAUGGCCGGUACAAAGGGCUGCGAUGCCGCGAGGUUAAGCGAAUCCUUUUAAAGCCGGUCUCAGUUCGGAUCGGGGUCUGCAACUCGACCCCGUGAAGUCGGAGUCGCUAGUAAUCGCAGAUCAGCAACGCUGCGGUGAAUACGUUCCCGGGCCUUGUACACACCGCCCGUCACGUCAUGAAAGUCGGUAACACCCGAAGCCAGUGGCCUAACCCUCGGGAGGGAGCUGUCGAAGGUGGGAUCGGCGAUUGGGACGAAGUCGUAAC
This 1453-nucleotide ribosomal RNA is filed under the name Mycobacterium gastri. Its description in RNAcentral is "bacterial SSU rRNA". It matches the Rfam family "Bacterial small subunit ribosomal RNA". Lineage: Bacteria; Bacillati; Actinomycetota; Actinomycetes; Mycobacteriales; Mycobacteriaceae. The record is from RNAcentral.